This 400-nucleotide ribosomal RNA is filed under the name phytoplankton environmental sample. Its description in RNAcentral is "partial small subunit ribosomal RNA". It matches the Rfam family "Eukaryotic small subunit ribosomal RNA", at positions 587 to 981 of the family's 1831-position model. The record is from RNAcentral.
AGCUCCAAUAGCGUAUAUUAAAGUUGUUGCAGUUAAAAAGCUCGUAGUUGGAUUUCUGGCUGAGUUGUGGCUGUCCGCGUUCAAAUGGAUGUGAGUAACGGCCACGACCGGUCACUCUUCUGGUGGUCCGUAUUGCUCUUGAUUGAGUGGUGCGGUGCGACCAGAUCGUUUACUUUGAGAAAAUUAGAGUGUUCAAGGCAGGCAUUAAUCGCCGUGAAUAUAUUAGCAUGGAAUAAUAAGAUAGGACUUUGGUCGUAUUUUGUUGGUUUCUACAGCCGAAGUAAUGAUUGAUAGAGACAGUUGGGGGUGCUAGUAUUCUGCGGCCAGAGGUGAAAUUCUGUGAUUCGCGGAGGACUGACUUAUGCGAAAGCAUUCACCAAGGAUGUCUUCUUUAAUCAAG